Molecule: unclassified non-coding RNA, 299 nt
Filed under: plant metagenome
Description: partial contains 5.8S ribosomal RNA, internal transcribed spacer 2, and large subunit ribosomal RNA
Rfam family: 5.8S ribosomal RNA (bases 1-105)
Source: RNAcentral
GAAAUGCGAUAAGUAAUGUGAAUUGCAGAAUUCAGUGAAUCAUCGAAUCUUUGAACGCACAUUGCGCCCCCUGGUAUUCCGGGGGGCAUGCCUGUUCGAGCGUCAUUUCACCACUCAAGCCUCGCUUGGUAUUGGGCGACGCGGUCCGCCGCGCGCCUCAAAUCGACCGGCUGGGUCUUUCGUCCCCUCAGCGUUGUGGAAACUAUUCGCUAAAGGGUGCCGCGGGAGGCCACGCCGUAAAACAACCCCAUUGCUAAGGUUGACCUCGGAUCAGGUAGGGAUACCCGCUGAACUUAAGC